Molecule: non-coding RNA, 133 nt
Filed under: Desulfosporosinus lacus
Lineage: Bacteria; Bacillati; Bacillota; Clostridia; Eubacteriales; Desulfitobacteriaceae
Description: SAM-I sequence
Rfam family: SAM riboswitch aptamer (S box leader)
About the family: The SAM riboswitch is found upstream of a number of genes which code for proteins involved in methionine or cysteine biosynthesis in Gram-positive bacteria. The SAM riboswitch acts at the level of transcription termination control.
Source: RNAcentral
CUCUUAUCCGGAGUGGUGGAGGGACUAGCCCUAUGAAACCCGGCAACCAGCUUGAUACGCGCGAUUUAUGUCUUAGCGUGGAGAAAGCAUGGUGCUAAUUCUUGCAGGAGAAGAUUUUCCUGGCAGAUAAGAG